This 73-nucleotide transfer RNA is filed under the name Tepidiphilus thermophilus. RNAcentral's name for it is "Petrobacter sp. JHK30 tRNA". It matches the Rfam family "tRNA". Rfam says of the family: Transfer RNA (tRNA) molecules are approximately 80 nucleotides in length. Their secondary structure includes four short double-helical elements and three loops (D, anti-codon, and T loops). Further hydrogen bonds mediate the characteristic L-shaped molecular structure. tRNAs have two regions of fundamental functional importance: the anti-codon, which is responsible for specific mRNA codon recognition, and the 3' end, to which the tRNAs corresponding amino acid is attached (by aminoacyl-tRNA synthetases). tRNAs cope with the degeneracy of the genetic code in two manners: having more than one tRNA (with a specific anti-codon) for a particular amino acid; and 'wobble' base-pairing, i.e. permitting non-standard base-pairing at the 3rd anti-codon position. Lineage: Bacteria; Pseudomonadati; Pseudomonadota; Hydrogenophilia; Hydrogenophilales; Hydrogenophilaceae. The record is from Rfam by way of RNAcentral.
GCCGUUGUAGCUCAGCUGGUAGAGCAACUGAUUCGUAAUCAGUAGGUCGGAGGUUCGAGUCCUCUCAACGGCA